RNAcentral lists this long non-coding RNA (135 nucleotides) under Piliocolobus tephrosceles (Ugandan red Colobus). RNAcentral's name for it is "lncRNA (ENSPTEG00000015785.1)". The record is from RNAcentral. Lineage: Eukaryota; Metazoa; Chordata; Mammalia; Primates; Cercopithecidae.
AAUAAUGGGGUCACAUCUCGGCAGCAACCUGCCCUCAGGUAGCAUUUUCAAGUCAUGGCGAAGCUGGAGGAAGAGGAAGACAGAGCUCUUACCAGGGGGAGGCAGAGAUGGCACAGCAAGAGACAUGCCCCAGAA